AUACGGAGGGUGCGAGCGUUAAUCGGAAUUACUGGGCGUAAAGGGUCCGUAGGCGGUCUGCUUAGUCUGAUGUGAAAGCCCCGGGCUUAACCUGGGAAUGGCAUUGGAUACUGGCGGACUAGAGUCUGGUAGAGGGUGGUGGAAUUCCCGGUGUAGCGGUGAAAUGCGUAGAUAUCGGGAGGAGCACCAGUGGCGAAGGCGGCCACCUGGACCAAGACUGACGCUGAGGGACGAAAGCGUGGGGAGCAAACAGGAUUAGAUACCCUAGUAGUCC
Molecule: ribosomal RNA, 274 nt
Filed under: uncultured bacterium
Lineage: Bacteria
Description: partial 16S ribosomal RNA
Rfam family: Bacterial small subunit ribosomal RNA
Source: RNAcentral